GGAUGUGAGGGCGAUCUGGCUGCAACAUCUGUCACCCCAUUGAUCGCCAGGGUUGAUUCGGCUGAUCUGGCUGGCUAGGCGGGUGUCCCCUUCCUCCCUCACCGCUCCAUGUGCGUCCCUCCCGAAGCUGCGCGCUCGGUUGAAGAGGACGACCUUCCCCGAUAGAGGAGGACCGUUCUUCGGUCAAGGGUAUACGAGUAGCUGCGCUCCCCUGCUAGAACCUCCAAACAAGCUCUCAAGAGUGAGGUCUCAGCGGGCAGUGGCUGUGUCUGUCCCAGUUGCUGUUCCCAGCUCUCU
RNAcentral lists this small nuclear RNA (297 nucleotides) under Marmota monax (woodchuck). RNAcentral's name for it is "7SK RNA". It matches the Rfam family "7SK RNA". Rfam says of the family: 7SK was discovered as an abundant small nuclear RNA in the mid-70s but a possible function has only recently been suggested. Lineage: Eukaryota; Metazoa; Chordata; Mammalia; Rodentia; Sciuridae. The record is from Rfam by way of RNAcentral.